This is a long non-coding RNA of Mauremys reevesii (Reeves's turtle), 4350 nucleotides long. RefSeq lists it as uncharacterized. The transcript is spliced from 11 exons. The record is from RefSeq and is a predicted model, not a curated record. NCBI's taxonomy places the organism in Eukaryota, Metazoa, Chordata, Testudines, Geoemydidae.
UGGAUAGGAGAGAGGAGAGGGGCCUCAACCCACACAAUAGUCUAUUUAAACCUCUGGGAGACCCCUCCAUUUUGUCUUCAGCUGGCUCAAGCGAUAGCUUCUCCACCCCCAAAGGAUACCUGAAAGAAAUUGGAACAAAGGACAGUAACCACGGGGGUGUAGGUGAUUGCUGGACCGAGACUAGGAGGAGGCUAGUCUGUAAAAGAAGUUUACUGGAACAUCUCUGAGGUUAUGCCUGGGGGAGCCCCAUUCCUGGACCAGGAACCCAUCACAUAAGACACAAAUCUUGCUUCCCUCAUUGCAGAGCCCAAGAAUGCAGCUACGAAGCAGCUGGAUUGCCUGUACUUAUGCUGGGUUGGAGAGAAGUUAGAAAUGUUUGAGGAAGCAGUAUGGAUUUCUCUGGUUUGGAUUUGCUAUCUACUGAUCCUGCACAGGAGAAGUGGUAACCUAGAGGGAGCAAAACUAUCAGACAAGGAAGCACUGACUGAAGGGAUCCUCAUGCCAAGGCUGUUCUGCCUCCAAGCAGGCAAAGCACAGGAGUUGAAAGUUCAGCUUUACAGGAAUUCAUCGGAUCCAAAAGAAAAAAAACCACCAUCCAAAAGCCAGUUCCGACAUGUAAGGAUUUGAAGCAUUAAUGAUUUCAAAAGAAGGAUCAAUUCUUGUUUCAGGUAUCCAAAAGAAACAAUAAUCAGAGCCAAGGGCGAUUUUUGAUUUAAGAAGUCAUAAAAAUUUAAUCCUUUCCUUGGUUGAAUUAUGAAGCUAUGGGCAGUUCUCUUCACAUCUCAUCCUCCUCAGUUUAUUUGGCAAGAACCAUUUUUGCCAGGUGCAAGGGACUAAAAAGCAGUUCCCUUUGCUCACAGGCAAAAGGUCACAAGUGCUUCUGAACGAGAUUUCCAUUGCUUCUCUCUUGGUUGCUGAUGCCUCCCUGGAUAACAGUCACAUUUUGUCUGGAACUAUGGCAGCCAACGCAGUUCCCAGAAGGUACCUUUGGUUGACCACAUGGAAAGCUGAUUCUCAGGCAAAACAAUUAGUGGCGACUGCUUUCCUCGAGGGAGGCAGAGUUUUUGGCACAUCUCACAACUAAGGAGUCACCCAGAACUCAGGCAAUACAAAAAUCCCUUCCUUCUUUGUCGCCGUGCAAACCUCAAAGGAGCGAAUGGAGGUCUUCAUAUCAUGAAGAACAGAAUUGCUUUGUAUGCUGACCAUCGCUCUGAACAUCAAACAUACUGCACUUUCUCCCAACGGAGAUUUAGAUCCAAAGGCUGCAUAAACAAUGCAUGCAAUCAAGGGACAGAACUAAGGUUUCAUGCAAAAGCUUAAAUCUGGCCUUUCCUAACUUUUGAGUGUUUGAUUUCUCAAUCUUAAUAAUAUUCUUUUAACAUAGGUGCCUUAUAGGAUAUUUGUCAUUCAUAUACAUGCAAUUUGGGUCAAUUUGUGACAUUAGCCACUAAACAGUUGUCAAAGAAUGUUGGAAGCUUUCCUCUCAUAGGGCCCAUUUGUAUAUCUUGCACCCAUGUUAGUGAGCAUAUAGCUGAGUAGUCUCAUUAAAUUAAGUGGAACUGCUCACAUGCGAAAAAAUACACUGAUGUGAGAAAGGCUUGCAUAUUUGGGUUUUUAACCCACAUAUGAAUUCUGUAGGUAUCUGUUUUAUCAAACUGAGUUUUUAUCCAGUAUGCCUUUUGGAAUCUUUAAAAUCUGUUGCAUAGUUAUUUUUAAUUUAAUUUAAUUAACUUAUUUUAACACCGUAUUCUCUCGCCUGUUAAUUUUGUUGAUUUGCAUAUAUAGUGCACCCGCAAUAGUCAUCUCAGCAUGCUAUACAGCACAGAUGUGUAAGAAAGAUGCAAACCCUAAGGAAUUUGCAGUCUUAUUCCAAUACACACCUCAUUGGUGUAAUUCUAAUGGUCACAAAUACAAUGGUCUUUAAUACACUUAAAAAUAGGCAGCAGAGAUUUGCAGGUAUAAAUCAUCAUUCAUCCAAAUUACCUCAUUUUUGGAAUCAAGUCAAGUCAAACUUCUAUUGCUCCUUUUUAUUUUAAUUCAAUGGUUUGAAUAAUGUUGGCGCCUUAAUAUACAGUUAUAGACAAGCUAAUACUAUUAUAUGGUUUACAUUUGUUUUUGCUUCCCACUGUUGAAUGAACAAUCAAGUGUUUUUUACGGAUUAGCAGCAGUUGUAAAGUGUUCUGAUUUUCUCUUCCUUUCAAGCUAAGGAGUGAGAAGCAAGUUAUAUUGGUUGCUUUGGCAUUUUUGGAGUAGCUGAGGCAUUCACAGUGCAAACCACUGUUAUUCAUACUGUUAUAAUUCCUUUGCAGUUAAGUCAUUACUAGCAAUCAGAGCAGGCUUGUAGUACAAUACCUUAUUUGGGAAUGUCAUGUGAGAUGCCCAGAGCAAUAUGAAAAAAUAAAGGCCAACUUGUCUGGCUGUGGAGGGAUUUAUAACAAGGCCACUGGCAGAGAUCUGUUGGGAAGUAUUACGAGCUCCUGCUCAUUUGAUCAUAUAAACACCAAAGCCAGCAGGUGCAUUACAUUUGUACACUGUCUUUUUCCUUCAGGUGUGGUAUUAAAAAUUGGGUUGUUGCAACAUGUUUAUAGAAACUUGAAUUAUAAUGUCGUCUUUCUGCAGAUGGUGGAGCUAAAGUUUUUCAUCAGAUGAACAUGAAAAUCCUAUAAAACCACUUAACACUUUAUUUUUGCUUUUUUUUUUUUUUUACAAAUGGAAAUACAUUACUAAAAGAACACAUCUGCUCCUGAUAAUGUUUUUUCUCUGAGCAUAUUAGGAAAUCUACCCUUGAUUACAUCCAUAAUAGAAAUAUAUAAUACUCAGGUGUUAAAGAUUACAUUUGAAGGUGUUUGUUUUUAAACAGCUGGACCCUACUAGGAUGCCCUGAAUCUGAGCUCCUGUUCGAUUUGAUUCAAAUCUUAACUUGUGACUCAAGUUCAUCACUCUUUUUUUUUUAAAUAACUGUUUCACAUGAAAAGCCUUUUUAGUUACAUGAAAAUUUGAGUGUACUUCCUAUUUACAAGUUGGUAAUAAUAAUCAUAUCAUGGGGUAAGCAAACUUUGACAUCAAUGGAUGAAAUGUUUCUAGCACAGAGAAGAGUUAUAAUGAAGUUAUCAAGAAUUCUCUGUAAGUUGUUAUUACUCUACGCAAAAAGCUGUGCUGAUAUAAUAAACUUGAGACCGCUGAGCACUCAGGUCAGGAAAUAGCAAUAUUAACUUUUUGUUCCAUAUGCAUUACUUGUACAGUCUUUAAAUACACUAUAAAAUAUGACUGCAUAAGUACAAGGCCUGUUCUUUCUUUCUUUCUGCAUUCGGCUGUUAUGGGCCUUGUAACAAAAUGUGGAGGAGGAGAAGGAAGAGAAGAAAAGGAGGAGGAGAAGAAAGCUCAUAAGGAAGGACUCAGGAUAAAGAGAGAGAAUGAUCCAGUAAAUAAGCCAAAAGUGCAGCUGUAGCCCAGACAUUUUGAAAUCUAAUGAUAAAGUGAAAGAUGCUGAGAGUGGGCAGAUGCUGUAUCAACUUCUCCACAGAGCUCAGGAGAGGUGCAUUGUUCCUGACUUAUACCCUGGCAUGUUUCAUGCACAGGUCCCCAACUCUGCAGAGCAGCUAUUGUGGGAUAGCGAGAGAGAGAGAGAGAGAGAUGAAAUGGUGUCACAGAGGUCGAGCUGUUUUCUUACACACUGCUGAUGAAGGAUUGACUAGGUCUUUGGGCCUCCUGCUUGCCAAGAUCUAGGGUCAAAUACUCUAAAAUCUGCAGGAGAGGGGAAAGUACUGCAGAUUUGUGCAAGUAACCUCUGAGAAGACCCUGAUAUCGUUCCCGAGAUGGAAGCAUUAGUUCCAGUGUGUGGUAUCCGGAGAACCUGGGCUAUCGUUAUCCUAGGUCCCUACAAUCUGAUCUUUUAACACAAUUUUUUUGGGUUGCAAUUUCCUAAGUUUUUACAGAAGAAAACUAGAGAAAACAGACAUUCCAUCAGAUGGAAUCAUAUUGACUAUCCCACUAUGGUCACCUGUAGGGUUGGGAUCUUUAGAUCCACAGCUCAGACAUCUUCCACUGGAGCUGAGUAACUGGGGAUGUUUGGUCACCAUCAGUACAGGUGACCAUCACAGGCGACCAUGCAGAGUCCACCAUCACAAGAGAUCACGCAGUCCCAGAUUUGCAGACGAGCUCCAGCGUGGUCCGAAUGAGAGGUGCAAAUGUUUCAACGCGGCCCCUAUCUACUCCAUCCCAGAGACUGGUCCAGAUUAGAAGGUGGAAAAAUGAACUCGGGACGACAUGUUCGCUGAGCUCAUGCAGUCCUCCCGCACUGAUAGGGCCCAGCUGAAUGCAUGGAGGCAAACAAUUGCGGAGUCCCAUAAA